GAUGAACGCUGGCGGCGUGCCUAAUACAUGCAAGUCGAGCGAACAGACGAGGAGCUUGCUCCUCUGACGUUAGCGGCGGACGGGUGAGUAACACGUGGAUAACCUACCUAUAAGACUGGGAUAACUUCGGGAAACCGGAGCUAAUACCGGAUAAUAUAUUGAACCGCAUGGUUCAAUAGUGAAAGACGGUUUUGCUGUCACUUAUAGAUGGAUCCGCGCCGCAUUAGCUAGUUGGUAAGGUAACGGCCUACCAAGGCAACGAUGCGUAGCCGACCUGAGAGGGUGAUCAGCCACACUGGAACUGAGACACGGUCCAGACUCCUACGGGAGGCAGCAGUGGGGAAUCUUCCGCAAUGGGCGAAAGCCUGACCGAGCAACGCCGCGUGGGUGAUGAAGGUCUUCGGGUCGUAAAACCCUGUUAUUGGGGAAGAAAAAAUGUGUAAGUAACUAUGGCCGUUUUGACGGUACCUAAACAAAAAGCCACGGCUAACUUCGUG
This 497-nucleotide ribosomal RNA is filed under the name uncultured bacterium. Its description in RNAcentral is "partial 16S ribosomal RNA". It matches the Rfam family "Bacterial small subunit ribosomal RNA", at positions 28 to 507 of the family's 1533-position model. The record is from RNAcentral.